This 435-nucleotide ribosomal RNA is filed under the name uncultured bacterium. RNAcentral's name for it is "partial 16S ribosomal RNA". It matches the Rfam family "Bacterial small subunit ribosomal RNA", at positions 29 to 507 of the family's 1533-position model. The record is from RNAcentral.
AGCGAACGCUGGCGGCAGGCUUAACACAUGCAAGUCGAGCGGGCACUUUCGGGUGUCCGCGGCGGACGGGUGAGUAACGCGUGGGAACGUGCCCUCUGGUUCGGAAUAACUCAGGGAAACUUGAGCUAAUACCGGAUACGCCCUUUUGGGGAAAGGCUUGCUGCCGGAGGAUCGGCCCGCGUCUGAUUAGCUAGUUGGUGAGGUAACGGCUCACCAAGGCGACGAUCAGUAGCUGGUCUGAGAGGAUGAUCAGCCACACUGGGACUGUGACACGGCCCAGACUCCUACGGGAGGCAGCAGUGGGGAAUAUUGGACAAUGGGCGCAAGCCUGAUCCAGCCAUGCCGCGUGAGUGAUGAAGGCCUUAGGGUUGUAAAGCUCUUUUAUCCGGGACGAUAAUGACGGUACCGUAGGAAUAAGCCCCGGCUAACUUCGUG